CAAUAGCGUAUAUUAAAGUUGUUGCAGUUAAAAAGCUCGUAGUUGGAUUUCUGGUUGAAGCGACCGGUCGGGCGUUGAUUCGUCUGCACUGGAGUCGGUUUUGGCCAUCCUCUAGGAAAGUGCGUCUGGUAUUAAGUUAUCGGGCGUAUGAUCCUGGUCUUUUACUGUGAAAAAAUUAGAGUGUUUAAAGCAGGCCUUCGCCUUGAAUACAUUAGCAUGGAAUAAUAAGAUAGGACUUUGGUCUAUUUUGUUGGUUUGCAGACCGAAGUAAUGAUUAAUAGGGAUAGUUGGGGGUAUUUAUAUUCCGAUGUCAGAGGUGAAAUUCUUAGAUUUUCGGAAGAUAAACUUAUGCGAAAGCAUUUACCAAGGAUGGUUUCAUUAA
Molecule: ribosomal RNA, 382 nt
Filed under: uncultured eukaryote
Lineage: Eukaryota
Description: partial 18S ribosomal RNA
Rfam family: Eukaryotic small subunit ribosomal RNA
Source: RNAcentral